CAGCAGCCGCGGUAAAACGGAGGGAGCUAGCGUUGUUCGGAAUCACUGGGCGUAAAGCGCACGUAGGCGGCUAUUCAAGUCAGGGGUGAAAGCCCGGGGCUCAACCCCGGAACUGCCUUUGAAACUAGAUAGCUUGAAUCUUGGAGAGGCGAGUGGAAUUCCGAGUGUAGAGGUGAAAUUCGUAGAUAUUCGGAAGAACACCAGUGGCGAAGGCGACUCGCUGGACAAGUAUUGACGCUGAGGUGCGAAAGCGUGGGGAGCAAACAGGAUUAGAUACCCGCGUAGUCCCUGUCUCUUAUAC
RNAcentral lists this ribosomal RNA (301 nucleotides) under uncultured bacterium. RNAcentral describes it as "partial 16S ribosomal RNA". It matches the Rfam family "Bacterial small subunit ribosomal RNA", at positions 509 to 807 of the family's 1533-position model. The record is from RNAcentral.